UUGUUGUUGUUGUUGCUGUUGUUGUUCUUAUAAUUUAUACAAAUAAUACUACAAACAAAAACUAACGAAGGCCAUUUUUAAUAUCUUGCAACAAUCCAUUUCAAUUCCAAGAUAAAUUAAAUACAAUAAUUAAAAUUCAGUUCAUUCUAAUUUCAAUUUCUACUCAACCAAACAACUAAUUCUAAUUCCAAUUCAUAUUUACACCUCCUUUAUUAAUUUGUAAGGUAAUAUUCUCUAUACUAACGUGGGGAUUCUGAGAAAUGUAAUGGGUGUAUCUAGACUAAAUCAUCUUCUGCAGCAAUGUUCAAUAGUAAUGCCUAAGUUUGCAGCACAUUAUAGCCCAAUAUCCUGAAUCCGGCCCAUUAACAACAUUAUUUAAGACAUCAGGUUCUUUAAAGUUAUGCAUAUUCUUAAACAGAGACAGAGUGUACUCAUUUACAUCAAAUAGAUCCCUCUCUCUCAACUAUCUACUCUUUAUAGUAUAUACCACACAACGUAUUGUGAUCAUGCAUAUGAUAUUGAAUUUUUUUCAAAUACUCGAGUGUGCGUAUGUCUUUGGAAGAGGUUCUGCUUUGCCUAGCACUCUUUUCUUUUUUUUCUUUUAAUCAAAAUUCUCUAAUUCAUAAAAAAAAAAAAGAUCUUUGCAAAAGGAAUUACUGAAACCCUAACCCUGCCUUACCUACCCUCCUCUGUGACCAUCUCUCUCUAGGGUUUCUACAUAGUUCCAUUGAAUAGAUCGACGAAAAUGUCACUCCCUCAAAUACAAUGUAAAUAUAUGACUAAGCUGGCAAAACAGGUUAUGCAAAGCUAGAACUUAAAGAAAUCUUAAUUAAUUUGAAAUUUAUAAUAUUUAGGAAUACUUUAAGUAAUUUGUAUUCUAAUUUAAUUCGAUUACUUAUUUAGAGUUUUAUUAUUUUAGAAAUUGCUUAAUUGAGUUGUAUUCCUAAUUUAUGUAUGAGUCUUAUUAAAUAAGCGUCUAUUGUAACUUUUAGAAGCAUGCCUUUGUUAUUGAUUAUUUCUUGGAAUAAACUCUAAAUUUGAGUUCAUUAAUAUUUUCAGUUUUCAAAGCUCUAUGUGAGUUUUUGAGUUUAGUUAAUUCUCGACAUUUUGCAAAAUCAACGAGUCUCAACUUCCUAAGUUCAUGGUAUUAUUUCAAGUCAACGUGAAUUUAGUUCGUACUUUUAUUAUGCUAUUCUUUAGAAUUAAUAGAAUAAUAUAAUAUUAAAUUUUUGCUGCAUUAACGGGUCACCAAGUCGUGUUUGUGUCAUUUCAAAUUUAAAUCAACCCAAACACAAUCCAUUUAAUGAUCGUGUUAUUGAGACUCUAACCUAACACAGAAAGUAAACAAGUUAGCCAAUAACCCAUUUAAUAUCCAUAUAUUUAAUAGAAUUUAAACCUAACAUUUGUGUAUUGAUAAAAUCAUUUUUGGGUGCAGGCGCGCUCAUUUUUUUUAUUCAGACAUGCUAUUAAAUUGUGUUGUUUAAUAGCGUGUUUACAUAAGAAAAAAAAAUUGAGGGCACCUGACACAACUCAAAAGUGUUGAUUAGUACUAAGUAUAAGAGUGUUUAUUUAUAAUAUUACUCGAUGAGUCUAGGGUUGAACCACAAGAAAUCUAAAAAUCUAGUAGUCAAUUAUUAAAUAAAAUUAAUUUGUAAAAAAAAUAAUUCAUUCAAAAAAUGCUAAAGUUACGAGAUCCACACUUGGUAUUUUAA
Molecule: long non-coding RNA, 1712 nt
Filed under: Citrus x clementina
Lineage: Eukaryota; Viridiplantae; Streptophyta; Magnoliopsida; Sapindales; Rutaceae
Description: Citrus clementina (C. clementina) long non-coding RNA (CCLE_LNC005589)
Source: RNAcentral